AAAUCUUCUUAGACAAUUGCUUCCUGCUUUGCAAGCCACGCUGCAGCUUAAUAAUUCUAAUGUGGACAUAUCUAAAAUAAAUGAAGUUCUUACAGCAGCUGUGACACAAGCCUCACUGCAGUCUAUAAUUCAUAAGUUUCUUACUGCUGGACCAUCUGCUUUCAACAUAACGUCUCUGAUUUCUCAAGCUGCUCAGCUCUCUACACAAGAUAUCCCUCUUCAUGAAGGUAUCCAAAUGGAGAGAGAUACACAUAGGAGCAAAUGGGAAGUGAAAGGGUCACUUUGUCAGAAAGCUGAUAAACAGCAGGAAUGCCUUGUCUGGAAUGGAAGUAUAAUGGUGCAAAGACUCUUGCAACCCUCUGGCUAGCCUCAUGAGCAGGAGACUGCGUGGGAUACCUGGGCCUAAAUGUAGAAUAAGAAAGAAGAAAUAAGGAUGGUGAGGAGGCCUUCCAUGUGAGAUUAGGUUCAGGCCUAGCUUCCUGUUCCAGCCACAUAAAGGAGAGUGGGCCACACUGGGUGUGCUUACCUCUGAACACACAGCUCACU
This 546-nucleotide small RNA is filed under the name Pan troglodytes (chimpanzee). Its description in RNAcentral is "retained intron". The record is from RNAcentral. Lineage: Eukaryota; Metazoa; Chordata; Mammalia; Primates; Hominidae.